Molecule: long non-coding RNA, 982 nt
Organism: Lycium barbarum (goji berry)
Lineage: Eukaryota; Viridiplantae; Streptophyta; Magnoliopsida; Solanales; Solanaceae
Exons: 3
Source: RefSeq, a predicted model, not a curated record
AGGAAAUAAAAAGGGAAUUAAGUAUUAUUGAAAAAGAAAAGGAAAAGAAAGAAAUGGGCCAAGCCCAAAAAGGGGAAAAAAACAAAGGAGUUUAAAGUCUGAUGGACAAAACGUGAGAAACAAAAAAAACAGAAAACAGAGAUAGACGCAAAAAGGGAAACGCAGUGCAAGAAAAGAAAAGAAGGGAAGAAAAAGAGGGGAGAAAAUAAGGAUUUUCAACCCAAAUCAUCAAGUUUGAGACAAUCCGGAGACUCGAGAACGCAGUUUUGAUUUAUUGAGAAGUGUGCCUGAAUUGUGAAUUUGAGAUACUGUCGUUGAGAACGAGGCUGGUAAUUGAAGAUUUCGUGAGUGGAUUCUGUUGCUGAGGUGAGCCACCGCAUUGUUCGUGAAGGCAGCCAUUUCAGCUUAUCUAGUUUAUUUCUAGUUAUUUCUUUUAUUUUGGGUUUACAUGCCCGACACUCAAACUCAUGUAACUCUGUUAGAUGCUCCAUGGUUUAGCGUGGGAUGUGGGCUAGAGAUUCUUUUUAUCUUAGCGUUGAUUGGUUUUCAUAAAUCGAUUAUGGAUUUGGUUGGCGACUAUUUCGCAUUUUUAUCAUUAAUAACGUUGUUGGACCCGCACUUAUUUUCUUUUAGUGCUUUUGUAAAUGAUUAAGAGUAUGAUAUAUGGUUCGCCUGGCGGGUGGUGUUCGCUGGGUGCCAAUCACGUCUAGCGGGUAUUUUGGGACGUGACAAAUCUGGUAAAGAAAGUGAUCCUAUUGGAUCUUAGAAAUCAAGAUACAAUUCAAACACGAAUAUUAGAAAUAACCAAAAAGACUCAAAGUCUCAUCAUAAUUCCUGCAUUUCUUACAUUCUGUAGAAAAACAAUAUUACAUAUUGAACUAAUAUAAUUUCUGACUUUUCUUGUAAGCAUCCAACUCUUUUUUCACAACUUUUUCUUCAUUGAAUCCUCCCCACUGUUUAUGUUUUAUGAGCUUUAUCUUUC